GACGAACGCUGGCGGCGUGCUUAACACAUGCAAGUCGAACGGAGAAGCCCUGCUUUUGUGGUUUGCUCGAGUUGCGAACGGGUGUGUAACCCGUGAGUAGCCUGCCCUUUACUUUGGGAUACCUUCACGAAACUGUAGCUACUACCAGCUAGGAUCACCUGCUUCAUAGUUUGGGUUGGAACGUUUCGGCGGUUGGGGAUGUACUCGCGGCUUAUCAGCUUGUGGGUGGGGUAGGGGCUUUCCAAGGCUUUGACGGGUAGCCGGCCUGGGAGGGUGACCGGACACAUUGGGACUGAGAUACGGCCCAGACCACUACGGGAGGCAGCAGUGGGGAAUAGUGCACAAUGGGAGGAAGCCUGAUGCAGCAAAGCCGCGUGGGGGAUGACGGCAAGCGGGUUGUAAACCGCUUCCGCCUGCGACGAAGAGUGAGUGACGGUAAUGGGUAAAGAAGCACCGGCUAACUACGUG
This 468-nucleotide ribosomal RNA is filed under the name uncultured bacterium. RNAcentral describes it as "partial 16S ribosomal RNA". It matches the Rfam family "Bacterial small subunit ribosomal RNA", at positions 28 to 507 of the family's 1533-position model. The record is from RNAcentral.